Molecule: ribosomal RNA, 2080 nt
Filed under: soil metagenome
Description: bacterial LSU rRNA
Rfam family: Archaeal large subunit ribosomal RNA
Source: RNAcentral
GGUGAAAGUAGCAUCUAAGGCUAAAUAUUCAUCAAGACCGAUAGCAUACUAGUACCGUGAGGGAAAGUUGAAAAGUACCCCGGAAGGGGGGUCAAAAGCGCCUGAAACCAACCGGUUACAGACGUGUACAGCUUGAAAGGAUUUAGGUGGAGGUUCCGCAAGGGACUGAAGCCUUCUAGAGUUGUACGUUCCGUCUAGAAACACGGGCCAGGGAGCUUGUUGUUAUGGCGAGCUUAACCCGUUAAGGGGUAGGCGAAGGGAAACCAAAUUCGCGCAGCAUUAGCAAGGCGAAGGAUCUGAAAGGGUCUUGAGUCAUAGCAAUAAGGCUAGAAACCGGACGAUCUAUUCCUGGACAAGAUGAAGGUGGGCGAAAGCUCGCUGGAAGUCUGAAGGGGUCCUGACGUGCAAAUCGGUCCUCAGAUCUGGGAUUAGGGGUCAAAAACCAAUCUAGUCCGGUGAUCGCUAGUUCCCACCGAAUCGGNAGCUCGCUGGAAGUCUGAAGGGGUCCUGACGUGCAAAUCGGUCCUCAGACCUGGGAUUAGGGGUCAAAAACCAAUCUAGUCCGGUGAUCGCUAGUUCCCACCGAAUCGGAUCGCAGUCCUACCUUAGUUGAGAUGGCCUGUGCUGUAGAGCACCGAUCGGAUAGUAAGGGUUCGAAAGAGCUCGCUAUCCAUUCGAACUCCGAAUGUACAGGCGUCGUAGAAACUAGGAGACGGGUUUAUGUGGGGUAAGCCUCAUAACCGAGAGGGGGACAACCCAGACUAAAGUUAAGGUCCCCAAAUGUUUGCUAAGUGUCAAACAAAAGGGUGUCUUAGAGCAGAGACAGCAGGAAGGUAGGCUCAGAAGCAGCCAUCCUUUAAAGAGUGCGUAACAGCUCAUCUGCCGAGCUCUGAGGCCCCGAAAAUGGACGGGGCUCAAGUAAACUACCGAUACUUUAGAUCACCAACAAAGUUGGUGUAUGGUAGGUGGGCGUAGUGAUUGGGUAGAAGCUGGGUUGUGAAAUCCAGUGGACCGAUCGACUAGUGCAGAUCCUGGCGGCAGUAACAGCAUAGCCGGGUGAGAAUCUCGGCGACCGAAUGGGCAAGGGUUUCCCGGCAAUGCGUCGUCAGCCGGGAGUUAGCCGGUCCUAAGAACAACCUCAACAGAGUUGUCCGAAUGGGAAACUGGUUAAUAUUCCAGUGCCUUGAAAGAUCGUUACCACCCAUCUUGCUGCUUCAGGAUAGGGCAAGCAGAAUCGUCGUUCUGUCCAAGUUUUCAAGUUUUGGGGAGUGUCAUAAUGACGAGAUCCAAAACGAGAGAUGAAUGGUCCUCCGCAAGGAGGAUUUGCUCGAAUCCAGGAGACAAUGAAAACAAGAAUGGGAAGAUUCUUUCAAGACCGUACCGAGAUCCGACACUGGUGCCCUAGAUUAGUAGUCUAAGGUCUAUCGGGUAUACCGUAUGGCGAGGGAACUCGGCAAAAUAGCUCCGUACCUAUGGUAUAAGGAGUGCCUGCAGUUUUCAUGAAGAAUGGGAACCGCAGGUCGCAGUGACAAGGGGGUCCCGACUGUUUAAUAAAAACACAGGUGGUCGCUAGUCCGAAAGGAUGUGUAUGGCCUCUGUAUCCUGGCCAGUGGCGGUACCUAAAACCUGGGUUCAACUGGGCUAAGGGCCGCUAAACGCCGGGAGUAACUCUGACUCUCUUAAGGUAGCCAAAUGCCUUGUCGGGUAAGUUCCGACGUGCAUGAAUGGAACAACGAGGGCCCCGCUGUCCCCGCCUACAACCCGGUGAAGCCACAUAACGUGGACGAACAGUCCACGAACCUCUGUCGGGGAGAGAAGACCCUGUGGAGCUUUACUGCAGCCUGUUGUUGCGAUAUGGUGUCAAAUGCAGAGAGUAGCUGGGAGCCGUUAUGGUCAGUUCUCCGGGACUGAUUUAGGCAAAAGUGUAACACCAGCCAUUUGUUACCGUAUCGCUAACCUGUUUAACAGGGACAUCGGCAGGUGGGCAGUUCGGCUGGGGCGGCACCCCCUUGAAAAUGUAUCGAGGGGGCCCAAAGAUUGGCUCAGGCGGGACAGAACUCCGCCGGUGAGGGCAAAGCCA